Molecule: long non-coding RNA, 343 nt
Filed under: Lathyrus oleraceus (garden pea)
Lineage: Eukaryota; Viridiplantae; Streptophyta; Magnoliopsida; Fabales; Fabaceae
Description: Pisum sativum (pea) long non-coding RNA (PSAT_LNC035157)
Source: RNAcentral
UUGAAGGAAAGAGCUUAGGGAGGUUCGAUUUUGUGGUAAUAGUUGGCCAAUUUCGCCGCCUCCGGUAUGGGGGAGUAGCGCGGCGGUGAGAGUUCUUCAAGAUAGAAGCGUGAACUCGGAGGUGUUCUUCAAGAUGAUUCACGGUGGAGAUGUUUGUACGUCCGGGGGCGAUGUCGAUUGUGGCGAUGUCGAUCGUGCCGAUGACGUUUCCGGAUGCAAGGUAAUUCGUCGUUCUCUUUCGAUUUGAAAAGGAAGACUGAGGUAUUGUGGCGUUUGGAGUGCCGGACCGGGUUCGUUGAUUGUUUGUAUCAUUCAGCUUGGGCCUAUAGGCCCAAAAUCGCUC